RNAcentral lists this ribosomal RNA (207 nucleotides) under uncultured bacterium. RNAcentral describes it as "partial 16S ribosomal RNA". It matches the Rfam family "Bacterial small subunit ribosomal RNA", at positions 568 to 774 of the family's 1533-position model. The record is from RNAcentral.
CGCGUAGGUGGUUUGUUAAGUUGGAUGUGAAAGCCCCGGGCUCAACCUGGGAACUGCAUCCAAAACUGGCAAGCUAGAGUACGGUAGAGGGUGGUGGAAUUUCCUGUGUAGCGGUGAAAUGCGUAGAUAUAGGAAGGAACACCAGUGGCGAAGGCGACCACCUGGGCUAAUACUGACACUGAGGUGCGAAAGCGUGGGGAGCAAACA